RNAcentral lists this ribosomal RNA (123 nucleotides) under Russula sp. 4 GL-2015. Its description in RNAcentral is "5.8S ribosomal RNA". The stretch from base 1 to 77 matches the Rfam family "5.8S ribosomal RNA", at positions 78 to 154 of the family's 154-position model. From Rfam's summary of the family: 5.8S ribosomal RNA (5.8S rRNA) is a component of the large subunit of the eukaryotic ribosome. It is transcribed by RNA polymerase I as part of the 45S precursor that also contains 18S and 28S rRNA. The record is from RNAcentral. Lineage: Eukaryota; Fungi; Basidiomycota; Agaricomycetes; Russulales; Russulaceae.
AAUUCAGUGAAUCAUCGAAUCUUUGAACGCACCUUGCGCCCCUUGGCAUUCCGAGGGGCACACCCGUUUGAGUGUCGUGAAAUCCUCAAAAUCCUUUUUGGGCUUACCGAAAAGGAUUUUUGG